UAGAUGAUGUUCUGAACCAUU
RNAcentral lists this non-coding RNA (21 nucleotides) under Caenorhabditis elegans. The record is from RNAcentral. Lineage: Eukaryota; Metazoa; Nematoda; Chromadorea; Rhabditida; Rhabditidae.